This 469-nucleotide ribosomal RNA is filed under the name uncultured bacterium. RNAcentral's name for it is "partial 16S ribosomal RNA". It matches the Rfam family "Bacterial small subunit ribosomal RNA", at positions 28 to 507 of the family's 1533-position model. The record is from RNAcentral.
GAUGAACGCUGGCGGCGUGCUUAACACAUGCAAGUCGAACGGUGAACACGGAGCUUGCUCUGUGGGAUCAGUGGCGAACGGGUGAGUAACACGUGAGCAACCUGCCCCUGACUCUGGGAUAAGCGCUGGAAACGGCGUCUAAUACUGGAUAUGUGACGUGACCGCAUGGUCUGCGUUUGGAAAGAUUUUUCGGUUGGGGAUGGGCUCGCGGCCUAUCAGCUUGUUGGUGAGGUAAUGGCUCACCAAGGCGUCGACGGGUAGCCGGCCUGAGAGGGUGACCGGCCACACUGGGAUUGAGACACGGCACAGACUCCUACGGGAGGCAGCAGUGGGGAAUAUUGCACAAUGGGAGAAGGCCUGAUGCAGUAACGCCGCGUGAGGGAUGACGGCCUUCGGGUUGUAAACCUUUUUUAGCAGGGAAGAAGCGAAAGUGACGGUACCUGCAGAAAAAGCGCCGGCUAACUACGUG